RNAcentral lists this ribosomal RNA (396 nucleotides) under uncultured bacterium. RNAcentral describes it as "partial 16S ribosomal RNA". It matches the Rfam family "Bacterial small subunit ribosomal RNA", at positions 523 to 918 of the family's 1533-position model. The record is from RNAcentral.
AUACGUAGGUGGCAAGCGUUGUCCGGAAUUAUUGGGCGUAAAGCGCAUGUAGGCGGUUUGGUAAGUCGGUUGUGAAAAUGCGGUGCUUAACGCCGUAUGGCGAUUGAAACUGCUGAACUUGAGUGCAGGGGAGGAAAGGGGAACUCCCAGUGUAGCGGUGAAAUGCGUAGAUAUCGGGAAGAACACCGGUGGCGAAGGCGCCUUUCUGGACUGUGUCUGACGCUCAGAUGCGAAAGCCAGGGUAGCGAACGGGAUUAGAUACCCCGGUAGUCCUGGCCGUAAACGAUGGGUACUAGGUGUGGGAGGUAUCGACUCCUUCCGUGCCGGAGUUAACGCAAUAAGUACCCCGCCUGGGGAGUACGGCCGCAAGGCUUAAACUCAAAUGAAUGGACGGGG